RNA transcript from Lagopus muta (rock ptarmigan), 6722 nucleotides. RefSeq lists it as uncharacterized. The transcript has 2 exons. The record is from RefSeq and is a predicted model, not a curated record. NCBI's taxonomy places the organism in Eukaryota, Metazoa, Chordata, Aves, Galliformes, Phasianidae.
GGCUGGACUGCUGAUCUUAGAGCUCUUCCCCGACCUACAGGAUAACAUGAUUCUCUUGGAAGCAGCAGACGUUCCCCACUGAACCAUCAUUCUUCCUUCCCACGUGGCUGAAAUAUUGCUUGGCAGAGGGAGCGAGAGCUGGGCGCUCGGGGCUCUGAGUGUACACUGCUCCACUUGAAUACUCAAUUCACAUCUUUAGUCCCACAGUGAUGAGGUUAAUCAUCAACUGAACAGGCCCAGAGGUGUUGUGCUCCUCACAGAGGAGGGAUGUUUCUGUCGGGGGCUGCAGGAGGUUGGGGUGGAACGGUGGCUCCCGAGCUCUCCUGGGAGUGGGAUUUCACCCCUGGCCCUGGGGAUGCUGCCAGAGGGACCCAGGGCUGAUGGGAGCAGCUCACCUUGAACCCAGCUGUAUUUGGGGGUUGCACACAGACCCUGCAGGGUCCCAGCCUGUGGGGCUUCCCAAGCAAUGAGUCACUGCCUCUGGAAGCUGUCGCUGCUGGGAGCAGUGGUGGGCGGGAGGAGCCCUCCUCGGUGUGUUUUUCUUGUCUUGAUUAAGAAUUAGCAGUGAUCCACACGCUCUGCUCUUUGUUUAAGUCUCUCUGUCAGAUGUGUGUGUGCUCCAUUGUCAUUUAUCCCUGCUGCUUGUCGGAAGGCGGGUUUCCUUCCCCAUGGGAUCACAGCUGAUGGAUCUGAGCACAACGCGGGGCAGAUACUGCGGUGCUCAUGGGUGGGUGAGAGGUGCCCCCACCUCUGUGCCCAAGGGUCGGUGUGCCAACUCCUAGCUCUGGGAACCUCAGGGAACGGGGGCUGUGAUCACAGCCUUGGGGCGAGAUUGGGUGCAGGGCACUGCAAAAGCCAAACCCAGAGUGGAGAUCUUGAAUCACUACAUUGGUAGAGUAGAAUGAUGGAACCAUAGAAUGGUUUGGGUUGGGGGGACCUUUGUAGAACCAUAGAAUGGUUUGGGUUGGGAGGGACCUUUGUAGAACCAUAGAAUGGUUUGGGUUGGGAGGGAGCUUCGUAGAACCAUAGAAUGGUUUGGGUUGGGAGUGAGCUUUAUAGAAUCAUAGAAUGGUUUGGGUUGGGAGGGAGCUUCAUAGAACCAUAGAAUGGUUUGGGUUGGGAGGGAGCUUCAUAGAACCAUAGAAUGGUUUGGGUUGGGAGGGAGCUUCGUAGAACCAUAGAAUGGUUUGGGUUGGGAGGGAGCUUCGUAGAACCAUAGAAUGGUUUGGGUUGGGAGGGACCUUCACAGAACCAUAGAAUGGUUUGGGUUGGGAGUGAGCUUUGUAGAACCAUAGAAUGGUUUGGGUUGGGAGGGACCUUCACAGAACCAUAGAAUGGUUUGGGUUGGGAGGGACUUUCAUAGAACCAUAGAAUGGUUUGGGUUGAGGGGUACCUUCAUAGAACCAUAGAACCAUAGAACCAUAGAUGAGGGCCAUCUGACCCCAGUCCCUGCAAUGAGCAGGGACACCCACAGUUCCAUCCGAUGCUCAGAGCCUGGACCACGGGUGGACGUCCCAGCAGACCUGUAGCAGGCUGAUGCUGAGAGCCUGUAUUGCCUGUUUCUAGAUUACAAGGGAUGAGGGUAAUGAUUUUCUGUGAUUCCUGUGCAUUACUUCUAGAUACCAGGUAGUUAACUUUCAAUGGUGAGAACAAUCACAGUUCAUUAGGAGCACAAGUGUCAUGGAUGGAGGCCGCUGUGUGAGGUUCUGCAGCAGGGCACAGUGAUGCCUGGUGCUCCUGGGCACAUGCACACACCUGGACAAGGAGCUCCUCUGCUGACUGCAGUGCUCAUCGGGGGCUGUGAGCAGGAAGUUGGGGUCCCGUGGUGGCUGUGUGCAGGAGGUGGUCGGGGGCAUUUGGCUUCUGACCGUUGUUCUUCAAAUCUUCUGCAGUAUUGCAUCCAGGCCUGGGGAACCCAGGCACAGCAAGGACGUGGAGCUCUUGGAGAGGGUCCAGAGGCACUGAGAUGAGCAGAGGGCUGGAGCAGCUCUGCUAUGAGGAAAGGUUGGGAGAAGUGGGAUUGUUCAGGUUGGAGGAGAGAAGGCUAUGGGGAGACCUCAUGGUGGCCUGCUAGUACUUGAAGGGAGCAGAUAAACAGGAGGGGAAUGGCUGUUUGUGAGGGUGGAUGGUGAUGGGACAAGGGGAAUGGCUUUAAAGUGAGACAGGGGAGGUUUGGGUUGGAUAUGAGGAGGAAGUUUUUCAUGCAGAGGGCGGUGAGGCACUGGCACAGGUUGCCCAAGGAGGCUGUGGAUGCCCCAUCCCUGCAGGCAUUGGAGGCCCGGCUGGAUGUGGCUGUGGGCAGCCUGGGCUGCUGGUUGGCGACCUGCACACAGCAGGAGGUUGGAGCUGAUGGUCACCGUGGGCCUUUGCAACCCAGGCCAUUCUAGGAUUCUAUGAAAUCCUCUCUAUUGGCCAUCUGUGUGAGCAUCUGCAUGGCGCUGGGUGCUGAACGAACAUCUGCCCACCAGCAGCACUCAUUGGAGGCUUUGUCUGCCAGAUCCACCAUGCCUUCCCCCAGGGCCCACCCAGCUGCUGCCCCGAGGAGCAAUCCCUGCUGCCCUGCGCUGCACAGCGCUUCGCCCACCGACAGCCACCGUGGCCUCUGACUUGGAACUGAAACGGUUCAUUUGGUUCGGUUCAGUUCACUCCCAAAGCUGUAAUUAUCAUAAAAGAAAUUAUAUUCGCUUUAAUUCCGCCGGAGAGCGUCUCCUUAUAAAUAUGAUUUGCUGUGACUAAUACAUUUCAGUUCAGAUCUCUGAUAUAAAUGAACAAAUCUUUUUGCACGUGCACUGUAAUGGAUUUGUUCUGUCAGUGACGGACGGGAGGGGCUGCACCGGGGGCUGUAGCUUUGCUGAUCUGUAGGAUUUGGUUGGGGUCUCUGGGCGUCUCCACCAUUGCUGCUGUUCACAAACUGCUGGAUGUACAAACGGUCUCUUUAAAACCCCACUGUUUGCUUUUCUUCUGUCCUCCGGGGUAAAAGAGUUUCCUUACUGCCCCUUCCUCACUGAGAUUUCUGUAGCUUACAGACCAGGGAGUCCUGGAGCACUUCUACAAAUGCACACAAAAAAGAGAGUGCCUUUGUUCCCUCUGGGUUUGAGGUGUUUGUGGUAGUUGUUAUGUUAUCCAGGUUGUUAUGUGUGCCUACAGCAUGGCCUUGACCUACAGCAUGGCCCUGCCCUACAACAUGGCCUUGCCCUACAGAAUGGUCGUGCCCUACAACAUGGCUGUGCCCUACAGCAUGGCCUUGUCCUCCAACAUGGCCAUGCCCUACAACAUGGCCGUGCCCUACAACAUGGCCUUACCCUACAACAUGGCUGUGCCCUACAACAUGGCCGUGCCCUACAACAUGGCCUUGCCCUACAGCAUGGCCGUGCCCUACAACAUGGCCCUGCCCUACAACAUGGCCUUGCCCUACAACAUGGCCAUGCCCUACAACAUGGCCUUACCCUACAGCAUGGCUGUGCCCUACAACGUGGCCAUGCCCUACAACAUGGCCUUACCCUACCACAUGGCCUUGCCCUACAACAUGGCCUUGCCCUACAGCAUGGCCAUGCCCUACAGCAUGGCCUUGUCCUCCAACAUGGCCGUGCCCUACAACAUGGCCUUACCCUACAACAUGGCUGUGCCCUACAACAUGGCCUUGCCCUACAACAUGGCCAUGCCCUACAACAUGGCCUUACCCUACACCAUGGCCGUGCCCUACAACAUGGCUGUGCCCUACAACAUGGCCUUACCCUACAACAUGGCCAUGCCCUACAACAUGGCCUUGCCCUACAACGUGGCCUUACCCUACAACAGGGCCUUGCCCUACAGCAUGGCCUUGCCCUACAACAUGGCCGUGCCCUACAACAUUGCCUUGCCCUACACCGUGGCCUUGCCGUAUAAUAUGGUCUUGCCCUACAACAUGGCCUUGCCCCACAGUGUAGCCUUGCCCCUUGGCUUGUCUGCAGCCAAGCCUGGCAGCAUGAUAAAAAUGUUUCUUCUGCCAAACGUCGUGGCAAACAAAUCUGAGGCUGAAAUGCCUUUUGUGGAUGACCUCUAAAGACAACCUGUUGGAUCCAGGGUUGCCAUUUCAACAACAUGCAGCCUCUUCCCUUGGAAACCUCUAAACGAAGACGACAUUCCAGUCAGAUGUCCUGAGGUAUGCAUAGAGCUGGCAGCUCUCCUUAUUUACCUUCCAGAAUUAGAAACCCCUUCAUUAAUUCAAGUCGGCGCCUUGUGCGUCUCAGCAUGACCUUAGAGGCGUCCCAGAUUUUGGCUGUGAGGGGAACGCGGACCUAUUAUUAGAGGGAAAGCUUGUGUUGAGCUUGCCAGGCUGCAGCGGCCGUAGGAUCAAUGCGUGCUGGGGCAGCUCAGCUCACUGCUCACCAGGAGCUCAGGAGCUGCGCUCACAGCGAUGCAGGUCUGCAGCUGGGAGCUGAGCAGAGCAUCUCCUGAUAAGGAAAGGCUGAGAUCUCUGGGGCCGAGAGGGGAUCUGAGCGAUGGCUUUGGUCUGGCAUUGCCAGAGCUGUGCUUGAGAUGCACGUGUGUCCUCACAGCUCACACAAAGCACUGGCUGUGGUGGCUGGAAGCAUCCCACUGCUCACCUCCUAUCUGGAAUGCAUCAACAGUUAGGUGUCAGCGCCUUCCUGUCUGCUCCUGUAUUUGUCAUACAAUCAUGGAACCGUGGGAUGCUUCAGGUCGGAGGGCCGUCCAGUUCCACCCCUGCCGUGGGCUGUGUGCUCCCCAGCUCAGGCUGCCCAGGGCCCCAUCUGUGGCCACAUUACAUCCACUAGGCAAGUUUGCUGAUGAUACGAAGUUGGGAGGAUUGGCUGACACGCCUGAAGGCUGUGCUGCCAUUCAGUGAGACCUGGACAGGCUGGAGAGCUGGGCAGAAAAAAAACCAGAUGAGGUUUAACAGAAGCAAGGGUAGAGUCUUGCAUCUGGGGAGGAAUAAUUGCAUGCACUGGUACAGGUUGGGGGAUGAGCUGCUGGACAGGAGCUCUGCACAGAGGGACCUGGGUGUCCUGGUGGACGACAGGUUGCCAUGAGCCAGCAGUGUGCCCUUGUGGCCAAGAGGGCCAAUGGCAUCCUGGGGUGCAUUGCACAGAGCGUGGCCAGCAGGUCGAGGGAGGUGAUCCUCCCCCUCUGCUCUGCCCUGCUGAGGCCUCAUCUGCAGCACUGCGUCCAGUUCUGGGCUCCCCAGCACAAAACAGACAGGGAGCUCUUGGGAAGAGUCCAGCGGAGGGCCACCAAGAUGGUGAGGGGCCUGGAGCAUCUCUGCUAUGGGGAAAGGCUGAGUGAGCUGGGUCUGUUCAGCCUGGAGGAAAGAAGGCUGAGAGGGGACCUGAUCCAGGUCUAUCAGUAUCUGAGGUGUGGGGGGCAGAAUGGCAAGGACGGACUGUUUUCAGUGGUGAAUGGAGACAGGACAAGGGGAAACUGCUGGAAACUGCAGCAUAGGAAGUUCUGCACCAAUGUGCGAAGGAAUGGCUGUGCAGUGAGGUGAGGAGCAAUGGGACAGGCUGCCCAGGGAGGUGGUGGAGUCUAUGGGUCCCAAUGGGUCUCAAUGUGUCUCUAUGGGUCCCACUGUUCACUGGAACAGGCUGCCCAGGGAGGUGGUGGAGUCUCCUGCUCUGGAGAUGUUCCAGACCUGCCUGGAUGCCGACCUGUGCAACCUGCUGUAGGAACUGCUUUGGCAGGGGGUUGGACUCCAUGAUCUCUGGAGCUCCCUUCCAACCCCUACCGUUCUGUGAUGCUGUGAUUCUGUGAGCACUGUGUUUGAUCAGCACAGCCCAGAUGGAGGCUGUGAACCAGAUCUGUGCUUCUGACCGUCCCCUGUGUGCCCUCGGUCCUGGCUGCACAGCUGCAGGUGGGUUGAGUGUCCUGGGGUUUGGCUCCUUGUGGCCAAUGUGCGUCGUUGUGGUUAUGGGCUGGAUGGGCUCCUCCAGGGCAGAGCUGUGAUUGCCAGUCCCCUGCACAGCAGAGGGUGUUCAAUAAGGGCAAAGGGGAGGAUUGUGCUAAUUGCAGACCUGUCAGUGUCACUGCAGAAUUAUGCAGAAGAGAACUGUGGGAGGUGCUGCAUGGAGCUCAAGGAGAGCUGGGCUCUGCACUUGGGAUGGGGCAGCCUGGGCUGAAGCUGCACACUGGGGGAUGGGAGGCUGCAGAGCUGCCCCAGGAAUGGGGUCUGGGGGCUCUGGUGAUGACGGCGAGUUGGUUCUGAGGCAGCGGUGUGCCGUGGAGCCAAAAGGGCCAGCAGUGCCAUGGGGUGAAGCCGGCUGUGGGGUCAGGGGAGGGGUUCUGUCCCACGGUGUUCUGUGCUGUGCAGCUUCACCUCGAGCACCGGGUGUGGGUUGGAUGCCAUGAGUGAAGGCAUAAAGCUGGUUGGGAGCAUCCAAAGGAGGGCUGCAGAGAUGGGGAAGCGUCAGAGGGCAGGGGGUGUGAGGGGUGGUUGAGGGGCCCUGGGUUUGUUCAGCCCAGGGCAGAAGAGGCUGAGGGGGAGGACUCUACAGCCCUUCAUGCUCCUACAGCCCUCAUGGCCCUACAGCCCUCAUGGCCCUACAGCUCCUUAUGGCCCUAUGGCCUCUCGUGGCCCUACAGCUCCUUAUGGCCCUACAGCCCUCAUGGCCCUACAGCCCUCAUGGCCCUACAGCUCCUUGUGGCCCUACAGCCCUCAUGGCCCUACAGCUCCUCGUAUCCCUACAGCUCCUCAUGGCCCUACAGCUCCUCAUGGCCCUACAGCUCCU